This is a long non-coding RNA of Asparagus officinalis (garden asparagus), 637 nucleotides long. RefSeq lists it as uncharacterized. NCBI's taxonomy places the organism in Eukaryota, Viridiplantae, Streptophyta, Magnoliopsida, Asparagales, Asparagaceae. The transcript is spliced from 2 exons. The record is from RefSeq and is a predicted model, not a curated record.
UCGACUUGAUCAUGGUGGCUCCAUUCGAUGGAUGGUGGUGGGCUCCAAUGAAACUAGGGCUCGAUUUCCCCAAUGGGUGCUGCACCGCCUGCUGCGAGUAUCAAAAUUCUGUUCCCCAGGAUGCGCCCGAGUUAGAUUCUGCCGAGAGCUUAACGGCCUGGAGUGGUGAGGCACUGAGAUGAGGACAAAUUUGUGGAAGAAGGGCCUUGUCCUGAAGAAAAUUUCCGUCCUCCCUCAAGGUUACAGGGCACAGAUUGUGAGGUGCGGCAGUAAUUGUACCAUAACCUGUCCAUGAAACUCAAGGGAUUGCCAGUUAAACAUAGGAGGAAAAGUUGGAGGAGUAGGCAUUGGCGACGGAGGUAUUAGAAGUACAAACCGUGGAACUGGAGUUUUCCAAUAUAUCCUCAAACCAAGGGGAAAUAAUCAAAAUCACUUCAUCUCGUAUUCCAAGUGUCAAAUGGUAUCAUCAAAAUUAAUACUGCCCCGUUUGGGUAUCGUAUUAUGUAGGAGUUUUUUUUUUUGCUGUUCUUUACUUUGCUUGGGUGAAAGUUGUUAUCAUGUUGUAUUUUUAGCUUUUGAUGAUGAUCAAUGGUUGUGCAUUGCUCUACUUUUGUUUAAUAAUGAUUAGUUUGGUGCA